AGAGGAGCUUGCUUUUCUUAGCUUAGUGGCGAACGGGUGAGUAACGCGUGAGUAACCUGCCCUGGAGUGGGGGACAACAGUUGGAAACGACUGCUAAUACCGCAUAAGCCCACGGAUCCGCAUGGAUCUGCGGGAAAAGGAUUUAUUCGCUUCAGGAUGGACUCGCGUCCAAUUAGCUAGUUGGUGAGGUAACGGCCCACCAAGGCGACGAUUGGUAGCCGGACUGAGAGGUUGAACGGCCACAUUGGGACUGAGACACGGCCCAGACUCCUACGGGAGGCAGCAGUGGGGGAUAUUGCACAAUGGGGGAAACCCUGAUGCAGCGACGCCGCGUGGAGGAAGAAGGUUUUCGGAUUGUAAACUCCUGUCGUUAGGGACGAUAAUGACGGUACCUAACAAGAAAGCACCGGCUAACUACGUGCCAGCAGCCGCGGUAAAACGUAGGGUGCAAGCGUUGUCCGGAAUUACUGGGUGUAAAGGGAGCGCAGGCGGACCGGCAAGUUGGAAGUGAAAACUAUGGGCUCAACCCAUAAAUUGCUUUCAAAACUGCUGGCCUUGAGUAGUGCAGAGGUAGGUGGAAUUCCCGGUGUAGCGGUGGAAUGCGUAGAUAUCGGGAGGAACACCAGUGGCGAAGGCGACCUACUGGGCACCAACUGACGCUGAGGCUCGAAAGCAUGGGUAGCAAACAGGAUUAG
This 695-nucleotide ribosomal RNA is filed under the name uncultured bacterium. Its description in RNAcentral is "bacterial SSU rRNA". It matches the Rfam family "Bacterial small subunit ribosomal RNA", at positions 72 to 781 of the family's 1533-position model. The record is from RNAcentral.